GGAAGAAUGGUGGGAAGUUCCGGUGCCGGACCUUUGGGCUUUCCCUUGUUCCUUGAACCCACUCCCGGCCCCGUUGAUCUCUUUGCAACUGCCACUUCUCUCCGUCUCUCCCACUCUCUUCGCCGCCGUAUUACCCAUCAAAUUCGCCUCACCUUCGCUCUCCAUUCGUUCGAUAAGAAACUUGCUCCUCUCAUUGAAGUCUCUUCUAAAGUGAAGAAUGCAUGGUGUUCAAGAGCUCUCCAUUUUCCAAGAUUAAAUUUUCUUGGA
Molecule: unclassified non-coding RNA, 267 nt
Filed under: Hevea brasiliensis (rubber tree)
Lineage: Eukaryota; Viridiplantae; Streptophyta; Magnoliopsida; Malpighiales; Euphorbiaceae
Source: RNAcentral